This 154-nucleotide small nuclear RNA is filed under the name Loxodonta africana (African savanna elephant). RNAcentral's name for it is "U1 spliceosomal RNA (ENSLAFG00000023928.1)". It matches the Rfam family "U1 spliceosomal RNA". From Rfam's summary of the family: U1 is a small nuclear RNA (snRNA) component of the spliceosome (involved in pre-mRNA splicing). Its 5' end forms complementary base pairs with the 5' splice junction, thus defining the 5' donor site of an intron. Lineage: Eukaryota; Metazoa; Chordata; Mammalia; Proboscidea; Elephantidae. The record is from RNAcentral.
AUACAUAUAGCUGUAAGACAAUGAUCACUAAGGUGGUUUUUCCAGGGCAAGGCUUAUGCAUUGCACUCCGGAUGCGCUGACCCCUGCAAUCUCCCCAAAUGUAGGAAGCUCAACUGCAUAAUAUGUGGUAAUGAAGGACUUGUUAGCACCUUAA